UCCGGGGCUGCACGCGCGCUACAAUGAAGGUAGCAAAGUGUUUGAAACCCAUGUCUGAAAAGACUUGGUAAUCACUAAUCAUUUUCGUGCUUGGGAUAGGGAAUUGCAAUUAUUUCCCUUGAACGAGGAAUUUCUAGUAAGCGUGAGUCAUAAGCUCACGUUGAUUACGUCCCUGCCCUUUGUACACACCGCCCGUCGCUACUACCGAUUGGAAGAUGCAGUGAAGAAUAUGGAUUCGAUCUGGUCUGGCUUAACCGCUAGGCAAGUUUUGGAGAAGUUUUCUAAACUGUGU
Molecule: ribosomal RNA, 292 nt
Filed under: Mesomermis flumenalis complex sp. S2
Lineage: Eukaryota; Metazoa; Nematoda; Enoplea; Mermithida; Mermithidae
Description: partial 18S ribosomal RNA
Rfam family: Eukaryotic small subunit ribosomal RNA
Source: RNAcentral